Long non-coding RNA from Gasterosteus aculeatus aculeatus (three-spined stickleback), 467 nucleotides. NCBI's taxonomy places the organism in Eukaryota, Metazoa, Chordata, Actinopteri, Perciformes, Gasterosteidae. The record is from Ensembl.
GGUGGAUACAGAGAAAGAGUUUUUUUUUUUUUUAUCUCUCUCCGUCAACAACAACAAAGCAGCUGUUUACACACAGCGGAGCUGCUGAAUGUAACAGGAGGAGACCACUUGAGCAGCUGCCAGGUUCCAGGGUGUGUUGAAGGCAGCGGAGGGGACGAGACAUUGAACGGUGCAUUUUGCCCCGGGAUUUAUUCACAUGUCUUCUUUUGUCACCUGCUUGUUCAAUUGUCUCUGAACAAGGAAAAGCGACACAUAUCUGGGUGAAUCGACAAAGUUACACAAUAAGCCGCCGCAUCCGUGUCGCCGCGGCUGCAGCCACAAGGUGUGUUACCUUGCUCGGGCAGAUUCCAGCCGAGCCUCAGCGAAAGGAAAAAACUAAAUAACACCUCCAAAGCCGCACUCGCAUUGUCAACUCUCCCGUGGUUCAAUGCGAGAGUGAGACUUCAUACCUCCUCACGUUGAUAUUA